Jaculus jaculus (lesser Egyptian jerboa) is the source of this 191-nucleotide small nuclear RNA. Its record names the gene U2. It matches the Rfam family "U2 spliceosomal RNA". Rfam says of the family: U2 is a small nuclear RNA (snRNA) component of the spliceosome (involved in pre-mRNA splicing). Complementary binding between U2 snRNA (in an area lying towards the 5' end but 3' to hairpin I) and the branchpoint sequence (BPS) of the intron results the bulging out of an unpaired adenosine, on the BPS, which initiates a nucleophilic attack at the intronic 5' splice site, thus starting the first of two transesterification reactions that mediate splicing. Lineage: Eukaryota; Metazoa; Chordata; Mammalia; Rodentia; Dipodidae. The record is from Ensembl.
AUCGCUUCUUGGCCUUUUGGCUAAGAUCAAGUAUAGUAUCCUUUCUUAUCAGUUUAAUAUCUGAUACGCCCUCUAUCUGAGGACAAUAUAUUAAAUGGAUUUUUAGAACUCGGAGUUGGAAUAGGAGCUUGCUCCAUCCACUACACGCAUCAACCUGGUAUUGCAGUACCUCUAGGAAUGGUGCACCCCCU